AGCUGAGGCCGAAAGGCGUAGGUGAUGGACAACAGGUUGAUAUUCCUGUACUACCGAUAACCGUUUGAGAGAAGGGAUGACACAGUAGGAUAAGCUAAGCACACUGUUGGUUAUGUGUGCCCAAGCAUUGAGGCAGUCAAAGUAGGCAAAUCCGCUUUGAUAAUGCUGGGAUGUGAUGGGGAGCGAAAUUUAGUAGCGAAGUAGCUGAUUUCACACUGUCAAGAAAAGUCUCUAUCGAGGUUAAAGGUACCCGUACCGCAAACCGACACAGGUGGGUGAGGAGAGUAUCCUAAGGCCAGCGAGAGAACUGUUGUUAAGGAACUCGGCAAAAUGACCCCGUAACUUAGGGAUAAGGGGUGCCACCAUCAGGUGGCCGCAGAGAAUAGGCCCAAGCGACUGUUUACCAAAAACAUAGGUUUCUGCUAAGUCGCAAGACGAUGUAUAGGAGCUGACGCCUGCCCGGUGCUGGAAGGUUAAGGGGAUCUGUUAGAGCAAUCGAAGCAGUGAACUUAAGCCCCAGUAAACGGCGGCCGUAACUAUAACGGUCCUAAGGUAGCGAAAUUCCUUGUCGGGUAAGUUCCGACCCGCACGAAAGGCGUAACGAUUUGGGCACUGUCUCAACAACAGACUCGGUGAAAUUGUAAUUCCGGUGAAGAUGCCGGAUACCUGCGACAGGACGGAAAGACCCCAUGGAGCUUUACUGUAGCUUGACAUUGGGUCUUGGUACUACAUGUACAGGAUAGGUGGGAGGCUUUGAAACCAGGACGCCAGUUUUGGCGGAGCCAUCCUUGGGAUACCACCCUUGUAGUACUGGGACUCUAACCAUAGGCCAUGAAUCUGGUCUUGGGACACUGUCAGGUGGGCAGUUUGACUGGGGCGGUCGCCUCCCAAAAGGUAACGGAGGCGCUCAAAGGUUCUCUCAGUACGGUCGGAAAUCGUACGUAGAGUGUAAAGGCAAAAGAGAGCUUGAUUGCAAGACAUACAGGUCGAGCAAGGAUGAAAAUCGGACUUAGUGAUCCGGUGGUUCUGCGUGGAAGGGCCAUCGCUCAACGGAUAAAAGCUACCCUGGGGAUAACAGGCUUAUCUCCCCCAAGAGUCCACAUCGACGGGGAGGUUUGGCACCUCGAUGUCGGCUCAUCACAUCCUGGGGCUGUAGUAGGUCCCAAGGGUUGGGCUGUUCGCCCAUUAAAGUGGUACGCG
RNAcentral lists this ribosomal RNA (1200 nucleotides) under Clostridioides difficile. RNAcentral's name for it is "partial 23S ribosomal RNA". It matches the Rfam family "Bacterial large subunit ribosomal RNA", at positions 1394 to 2602 of the family's 2925-position model. The record is from RNAcentral. Lineage: Bacteria; Bacillati; Bacillota; Clostridia; Peptostreptococcales; Peptostreptococcaceae.